UGAUCUUGGAGGUCUCUUCCAAUCUAGACGAUUCUGUGAUUCUGUGAUUCUGUAAUAUAAAAUAAAUUAUAUUAAAUAUUAUUUUGAGGGAAAUGAAUGACACUGAAAGUUUUUUUUCUUGAUUACCUGCAGAGGAGAAGAAAGUAAAGAGCACCAAAGUGGAAGCAAAAGUUAAAAAGGAAGUGAAGGAUGGAAAAGGAGAAGCAAAGAUGCCUGAGAAGGUCAAGCAGACAGAGACUAAAACAACAGAAGUUGGGUUAAUAAAGGCCAAACCGAAAGUUAAGGAGGAGAAAGCACUUCAGACUGUAACUAAAUCAGAAAAGAAAGGACAUAAGGAAAUGGCAUCACCUCGUCUUCUUCUAGAACAUAGUCCAAGAAAGAAAACAGCAGCUAUUGAAGAAGAGAAGUCUAUUGUGGUAACUAAGGAAGUGAAAAAAAGAAAGGAUGAAAAGAAAAGGACUGAUAUAAGGAGGUCUGUUACUGAAACUAAGAAGAAAGGUAUGGUUUGGGAACAUUUCUUACUGGUCUUAUUCCAAUU
This 538-nucleotide long non-coding RNA is filed under the name Anser brachyrhynchus (Pink-footed goose). RNAcentral's name for it is "lncRNA (ENSABRG00000007959.1)". The record is from RNAcentral. Lineage: Eukaryota; Metazoa; Chordata; Aves; Anseriformes; Anatidae.